GCAACUUUUCUUGCAUUUAAGGCGCUCCCUUUUCUUAUGAUAGCACCUCCACAGAAGAGCAAGAAGAGUCCAAGAAUUUGGGUAUAUUUUAUAGAGAAAUGGAUGUACACCUCAGUCUUGAAAGCUCCCUUGAGUUAUUGAAGAGGGAGAAAGUUUUUCUACUGAUUUUAUUCAAGUGUUGCAGCACUCUAUUUAUAACUCAAAUUAUAACUCUAAUUAUAAGUCGAUAAUACAGCUAUACGGUUGAAAGCCAUACCGAGUAUUAGAUUUGCUUUUGAGUUGCAGCUAGUCUCUUAUUAUGUAUUUAAUGUCAAUUUUCCUCAUGAACUUAUUUGUGUAUAUAGAUUUAUGGGAUAUUUGCUUGGAAUAAACAACAAAAGAAUUAUCGUCAAUUCCUUUUAAAGAAAGUAUUGCCAAAAGUUUAAGAUUAAAUUAAGCAAUAUGUUUGUGAAACGAAAAAGUAUUUUUAUCACUUUCUUGUUUAUUUUUGUUAUAUCGUCAGCCGAGAACCAAGAGACCGUAUGUCUUUUUUUUUGUGUUUCCAAGAAAAUCAAGUUUCAAAUUUUAAUUUGCAAAGUCUUUAUGAAACACACACUCCUGAAUAUUUAUUGAUAAUGGACAAAAAAAAAAAAAAAACACAAAAUGUUGAUAUACGAUUCUUCUCUGACGGCGGUAUCUAUUUUUCAAGGUUUUAACUCGCUUUUGCAUAUAAAUGUUUUAAGACUUGUUUUUAAUUUUAUAUUCACUGAAUUGAGUUUGAGUUUGAACUGAGUUUAUAUACUUAAAAGAAAUACUAUAACAAUGUAUUGACUCGGAAUUAAAAUAAAAUUUAUAUUUCAGUU
Long non-coding RNA from Hydra vulgaris (swiftwater hydra), 842 nucleotides. RefSeq lists it as uncharacterized. Lineage: Eukaryota; Metazoa; Cnidaria; Hydrozoa; Anthoathecata; Hydridae. The record is from RefSeq and is a predicted model, not a curated record.